This is a non-coding RNA of Pelobates cultripes (western spadefoot toad), 244 nucleotides long. The record is from the annotation of a GenBank genome assembly. NCBI's taxonomy places the organism in Eukaryota, Metazoa, Chordata, Amphibia, Anura, Pelobatidae.
CCUAGCUUGGCUAUUUGCCAUUUAAAUUUCAUUUAGCAGAACUUAGAUGGAAUUUAGUGAUCACCCUGGCAGUGCCACGGGUCUGGCUCUUAGGAAAUGUAACUAUCUAAAGAAAAAAUAUAAAUCAAAUCUGUUUUAUGAGCUUGAUCCUUCCUAUCAGAAGAAAAUAAAAUAAAAAUCACAAGCCCCUCUCUUGGAAAUGUACGUCAAACUGAGUGUUAUAACUUGCCUGCCCCUGUUUGCC